RNAcentral lists this transfer RNA (65 nucleotides) under Orthopagus splendens. RNAcentral describes it as "tRNA-Phe". The record is from RNAcentral. Lineage: Eukaryota; Metazoa; Arthropoda; Insecta; Hemiptera; Dictyopharidae.
GUUUGAAUAGCUUAAAUUUAAAAGUUUGGUAUUGAAAAUACUUAUAUGGGGUAACUCUUCAAACA